Non-coding RNA from Cyanistes caeruleus (blue tit), 913 nucleotides. The record is from RefSeq and is a predicted model, not a curated record. NCBI's taxonomy places the organism in Eukaryota, Metazoa, Chordata, Aves, Passeriformes, Paridae.
UUGCUUUGGUUUUCUUUAAGCGUUGUCAGCAUCCGGAAAUCUGGGCACAAAAGAAUCCCCAACAUCCCCAACCUUACACGCACGUUGCGGUCCAAUUUAACCCAGUGGCAGAGGAGUGAAAAUGCCGGUGAGGCUGCUCGCUUUCCGCAGGGACAUGGCUGGAGCAGAGGGAAGGAGGAGAACCAAGGCCGAGGUUUCACCGCGCCCGCAGCUCAGCCAAGCUGUUGUUUUAAAAGGGCAAUAAAAGUGAAUUAUGACUAAACCCCUUCUCACUUAAUGGUUUUAGACGGGGAUCCCCAGCCCUGGCAAAUACGUAAGAGGAUUUUUAUUUGUGAAUGUGUUCCUGCAAUUGAUCUCUUUGAUGACAUUCUCAUUCAUAGAAAGAGUUUGAUUUAUGACUUUCGGAAGAAUUGCGUUCAGCCCUUCCAGCUAUAACCCACGCAUCCCAGCUCCACAGCGUGUUCCAGGGCUGGGAGACAACACUGCUCGCACGGAUGGACAGCAGAGCCCCGUUCACAAACCCCCAGCCAAGCCUCACUCGCUUGUAAGCGAUGACUGAUUUCUUGGAUUACUCGGCACGUGAGAAGUAACCAACCACAUUCUUUGUGAGCUCUGAUAAAUUUUAAGAUACGUUUUCUGAAAUAUCUUGCUGGCUGUUAAGCGCUGCUUUCUAGAAUAACAGGAUUAUUAAAAAAACCCCCAAAAAACAACAACCAAACGCCUUUCCUUUCGUUCAUGUAACAGGCUGGUUUCUGCAGGAGACGUUUAUCCUACUGAUUCUCUCUUACAUUAUGCCUGUAACAGAGAAAGUCCUCGUUCAUGCUUUUGUUACAGCUCAGGAUUUUCAAGCUUUGUAUCCUCACAGACAUAAGAUGCCACAUUUAUAUAUUAAAAGGAACAAAUCUCCGUCAAA